UCCCUCGAAUGAGGGCAGUCCCACCAGACAUAUCUAACUGGUAGUGAGGGUUUCGCUCGUUUACCCACUUAAGGGCACAGCUCACGCCACGAGCUGACGACAGCCGUGCAACACCUGUCUUGCCGUUCCGGCGCACAGAUCAGAAGCUUUCACUUCCGAGCUUUGCGCCGGCACGGUCCUAUUUCUAGGACUUUCGGCAGAUGUCAAGGCCUGGUAAGGUUCUCCGCUUAUCGUCGAAUUAAACCACAUGCUCCACCGCUUGUGCGAUCCCCCGUCAAUUCCUUUGAGUUUUAGUCUUGCGACCGUACUUCUCAGGCGGCAUACUUAACGCGUUAGCUUCGCUACAAGAAGGGUCGAUGCUUCUGAUAGCUAGUAUGCAUAGUUUACGGCGUGGACUAC
RNAcentral lists this unclassified non-coding RNA (399 nucleotides) under uncultured bacterium. RNAcentral describes it as "contains 16S-23S intergenic spacer region". The record is from RNAcentral.